RNAcentral lists this long non-coding RNA (225 nucleotides) under Ananas comosus (pineapple). RNAcentral describes it as "long non-coding RNA (ACOM_LNC019611)". The record is from RNAcentral. Lineage: Eukaryota; Viridiplantae; Streptophyta; Magnoliopsida; Poales; Bromeliaceae.
ACCGAAGUCGCCAACGAUGGCCGCUACAGUACGGGAGGACCAGCACUCAUAUAGAAGUCUAACCAGCCGGAUCCAGACAUUGAAAAUCAUAAGCGGCUGUCGGGCGCCGCGGUAGGGAUCCCAAGCGAAGCAGCGAAGGCAUAGUUCUCCCAGUCUGAGGAUCUCCCGGCGGGUGAGGUGCUCUGCUUGCACCCAUUCAGGGAGGAACGCAAUGAACUCCUGUUG